ACUUUCAACAACGGAUCUCUUGGCUCUCGCAUCGAUGAAGAACGCAGCGAAAUGCGAUAGGUAGUGUGAAUUGCAGAAUUCAGUGAAUCAUCGAAUCUUUGAACGCACAUUGCGCCCGCCAGUAUUCUGGCGGGCA
RNAcentral lists this ribosomal RNA (136 nucleotides) under uncultured Glomus. RNAcentral's name for it is "5.8S ribosomal RNA". It matches the Rfam family "5.8S ribosomal RNA", at positions 2 to 137 of the family's 154-position model. Rfam says of the family: 5.8S ribosomal RNA (5.8S rRNA) is a component of the large subunit of the eukaryotic ribosome. It is transcribed by RNA polymerase I as part of the 45S precursor that also contains 18S and 28S rRNA. Functionally, it is thought that 5.8S rRNA may be involved in ribosome translocation. The record is from RNAcentral. Lineage: Eukaryota; Fungi; Glomeromycota; Glomeromycetes; Glomerales; Glomeraceae.